GGCGGGCCUGCAAGUCCCGAGGCAGUCGAUCAUCGCAUGCUGCCUUGGGGAGCUUCCUUCCCGCC
This is a regulatory RNA element of Pseudomonas aeruginosa PAO1, 65 nucleotides long. It matches the Rfam family "gabT RNA". The record is from Rfam. Lineage: Bacteria; Pseudomonadati; Pseudomonadota; Gammaproteobacteria; Pseudomonadales; Pseudomonadaceae.